Molecule: ribosomal RNA, 355 nt
Filed under: uncultured bacterium
Lineage: Bacteria
Description: bacterial SSU rRNA
Rfam family: Bacterial small subunit ribosomal RNA
Source: RNAcentral
AGAGUUUGAUCAUGGCUCAGGAUGAACGCUAGCGACAGGCUUAACACAUGCAAGUCGAGGGGCAGCAUGAUUUGUAGCGAUACAGAUUGAUGGCGACCGGCGCACGGGUGAGUAACGCGUAUGCAACUUACCUAUCAGAGGGGGAUAGCCCGGCGAAAGUCGGAUUAAUACCCCAUAAAACAGGGGUCCCGCAUGGGAAUAUUUGUUAAAGAUUCAUCGCUGAUAGGAUAGGCAUGCGUUCCAUUAGGCAGUUGGCGGGGUAACGGCCCACCAAACCGACGAUGGAUAGGGGUUCUGAGAGGAAGGUCCCCCACAUUGGUACUGAGACACGGACCAAACUCCUACGGGAGGCACA